UACGUAGGUGGCGAGCGUUGUCCGGAUUUACUGGGCGUAAAGAGCGCGCAGGCGGUCGUUCAAGUCGCGUGUGAAAGCCCCCGGCUCAACUGGGGAGGGUCACGCGAUACUGAUCGACUCGAAGGCAGGAGAGGGUAGUGGAAUUCCCGGUGUAGUGGUGAAAUGCGUAGAUAUCGGGAGGAACACCGGUGGCGAAGGCGCUCAUCUGGCCCAAUACUGACGCUGAGGCGCGAAAGCUAGGGGAGCAAACGGG
RNAcentral lists this ribosomal RNA (253 nucleotides) under uncultured bacterium. RNAcentral describes it as "partial 16S ribosomal RNA". It matches the Rfam family "Bacterial small subunit ribosomal RNA", at positions 524 to 776 of the family's 1533-position model. The record is from RNAcentral.